This 465-nucleotide ribosomal RNA is filed under the name uncultured bacterium. Its description in RNAcentral is "partial 16S ribosomal RNA". It matches the Rfam family "Bacterial small subunit ribosomal RNA", at positions 338 to 795 of the family's 1533-position model. The record is from RNAcentral.
CCUACGGGAGGCAGCAGUAGGGAAUCUUCCACAAUGGACGAAAGUCUGAUGGAGCAACGCCGCGUGAGUGAAGAAGGGUUUCGGCUCGUAAAGCUCUGUUGGUAGUGAGGAAAGAUAGAGGUAGUAACUGGCCUUUAUUUGACGGUACUUACUUAGAAAGUCACGGCUAACUACGUGCCAGCAGCCGCGGUAAUACGUAGGUGGCAAGCGUUGUCCGGAUUUAUUGGGCGUAAAGCGAGUGCAGGCGGUUCAAUAAGUCUGAUGUGAAAGCCCUCGGCUCAACCGGAGAAUUGCAUCAGAAACUGUUGAACGGGAGUGCAGAAGAGGAGAGUGGAACUCCAUGGGUAGCGGUGGAAUGCGUAGAUAUAUGGAAGAACACCAGUGGCGAAGGCGGCUCGCUGGGCUGCAACUGACGCUGAGGCUCGAAAGCAUGGGUAGCGAACAGGAUUAGAUACCCCAGUAGUC